This is an RNA transcript of Cucurbita maxima (winter squash), 4201 nucleotides long. RefSeq lists it as uncharacterized. Lineage: Eukaryota; Viridiplantae; Streptophyta; Magnoliopsida; Cucurbitales; Cucurbitaceae. The record is from RefSeq and is a predicted model, not a curated record. The transcript is spliced from 8 exons.
GAGAGCGAGGAAAAAUCCGGGGUUCAGGAUAGCCACUUGUCCUCCUCGUUCCUUACACUCUCAAUCGCGCGACCGUAUCUCAACGCCGUCGCCGAAAUAGUUGUGUUUUCCUUCAACAUUCUUCGUAGAUAGGGCGCCAUUGGCUCUCGCUUGUUCGGAUUUCCAUCAGAUCUAGGGCUUCUGCCGAUCUGUUCACUUGUUUGUUCCAUGGGAAAUUAGGGGAUUACUCUCUCAGUUGUUCUUUAAUUUUCCCGGAAAGUACAACGAUUAAUCUUCGUUUUUUCAUCUUCUGUGUGCGCGCUAACAACUGCUUGGACAUAUUGGCGAAUCUUAGUCUUCUCUGCAAACGAGCUGGAAAUUUCUUGUUGAGAUUGGGUAUUUGCACGCCAAGACCCUCUCAUUGAGGCUUUAUCAAGUUAUUGAUCUUUUCGGUUACCGGUGGUGCGUUUUUAUCGGAAUUUCUUCUCUUCAUUUAGGGUAUUGGAGUGCUGUGGCGUAUAUUUUAUGUUGUGGAAGCUUUGGUGGGUUGAUUUGGUUUUGGUUUAGGUUUAGGUUUAGGUUUAGGUUUUUGAGACUCUAGUGUUUGAUAUUGGAGCAAACCUAAUUAUCGCGGAGAAUUAGGUUUGAUGGCUGAUCGUAACUCGGUGGUCGCAAGACCAAUCUGGAUGAAGCAAGCUGCAGAGGCGAAACUGAAGAGUGAGGCUGAGAAAGAUGCAGCGGCUAAAGCUGCUUUCGAAGCUACUUUUAGAGGCGUAGAUAAGAAUCCUGUAAAAGAAGCGGCAUCCUCAGAUAGUGAUUUUGAUGAUACUGAGGACUUGGAACACAAGCCGAUUGGGCCUGUUGACCCUGCUAGAUGCACAGCAGCUGGAGCAGGUAUAGCUGGUGGCACGGCCUGCGUGCCAGCUUCGUUUACUGUGGUAACUAAGGAUGGCGAUGGGAGGAAAGUUCCUCAUGGUGGCGCGCAGAUUAAAGUAAAGGCGUCGCCUGGUGUAGGUGUUGGUGGAACCGAGCAAGAUGGCAUUGUGAAGGAUAUGAAUGAUGGUACAUAUACGAUCACUUAUGUGGUGCCAAAAAGAGGGAAUUAUAUGGUUAAUAUUGAGUGCAAUGGAAGACCAAUCAUGGGUAGUCCAUUCCCAGUGUUCUUUAGUGCAGGCUCGAGUUCUGGUGGACUCCUGGGUUUAGCUCCUGCAUCAUCAUUUCCAAAUUUGGUCAAUCAAAAUAUGCCCAACAUGCCUAAUUAUUCAGGGUCUGUUUCGGGGGCAUUUCCUGGUUUGAUGGGAAUGAUUCCAGGUAUUGUAGCUGGUGCUUCUGGUGGUGCUAUCUUGCCUGGAAUUGGAGCAUCUCUUGGUGAAGUAUGUCGAGAAUACCUUAAUGGUCAAUGUGCGAAAACGGAUUGUAAGUUAAAUCAUCCACCUCACAAUUUGCUCAUGACUGCAAUAGCUGCAACAACCAGCAUGGGAACUAUUAGUCAAGUGCCCAUGGCACCUUCUGCUGCUGCUAUGGCAGCUGCUCAGGCCAUUGUUGCUGCCCAAGCCCUUCAAGCCCAUGCUGCUCAAGUGCAAGCACAACAAGCUCAGUCUGCGAAAGACUCUUCUGGUUCAUCUGACAAAUCUGGGAAGGCUGCUGAUGCACUGAAGAGAACGCUGCAAGUUAGCAAUCUUAGCCCACUUCUCACCGUGGAACAGCUGAAACAACUUUUUAGUUUUUGUGGAACUGUUGUUGAAUGUACCAUUACUGAUUCAAAGCAUUUUGCUUACAUAGAAUACUCAAAGCCUGAAGAAGCUACUGCUGCAUUGGCAUUGAACAAUAUGGAUGUUGGAGGUCGACCUUUGAAUGUAGAGAUGGCAAAAUCACUUCCACAGAAACCAGCUGCCAUGAACCCUUCACUUGCUUCAUCUUCUCUGCCCAUGAUGAUGCAGCAAGCUGUAGCCAUGCAACAAAUGCAAUUUCAGCAGGCUUUGUUGAUGCAGCAAACUGUGACAGCUCAGCAGGCCGCUAAUCGUGCAGCAACUAUGAAGUCUGCAACAGAGUUGGCAGCAGCUAGAGCUGCAGAAAUAAGCAAAAGACUUAAAGUUGAUGGAAUUGGGGAUGAAGAAACUGAGACAAAAGAAAAAUCAAGGUCACCUUCCUUGCCCAGGGAGAGGUCAAAAUCCAAAUCAAAAUCACCUAUGAAGUACCGAAGUAGGCGGAGAUCACCAACUUAUUCACCUCCAUAUCAUCACUCAAGAGAUCACAGAUCUCGCCAUUAUUAUAGAGUUGAAGAUGACCGGAGGUCUUAUAGAGAAGCAAGAGAUGUUAGUGAAAGAUCUAGACGGCGAGAUCUAGAUAGAUCAAGAAGUCAUCGCUCACCCAUCUCAAGGAAAAAUAGAAGCCGAAGCAUCAGUCCUCGCAGAAGAAAAUCGUACAGAGCAGAUUCAGACUCUCCAAAUCGCCCAAGGGAACGUUCACCCCAAAGAGGUAGGAAAUCAGAUCAUUCCGAUUUAAGAUCACCAAGUCGUCAUCAUGGGAAAAGCAGAUCAUCCCCAAGAAAUGAUGAUGUUGACAAACUAAAACGUAGAAGACGAUCAAGGUCUAAAUCUCUUGAGACUAAGCAUCAUUCUGAUGAAAAAACUAAUGAAAUGCAACAUGGAAAAUCAAAGAAUCGGGAUAGAAGGAGGUCAAGAUCUGCUUCACUUGAAGACAAGCAUAGUAAAAGAAGAUCAUCACCUAGAAGCAUGGACAAGAAUGUAUCUAAACAUAGAAGGCGGUCCAGAUCAAACUCUAGGGAGAAGGUAGAUGAUACCUCAUCGAAAUAUCGUAGUAGAAGACGAUCACGGUCAAGUUCUUCAGAAAGUAAACAUCUCACUGUUAAUAAGUUGGAUAGCACUAGAGAUGAAAAGGUAAGACAUCGUAGCAGAAGAAGAUCCAGGUCAAGAUCUGUUGAUGGUAAGCAUUGCAGGAAGGAGAAAUCAGAUAGAAGCAGAGAUAAAAAGCCCAGACAUUAUGAUAGAAGGUCAUCCAGAUCUAUAUCUCCUGGGGAUAGACAUCAAAGAACGACCAGGUUGUCUCCUACCAGUUCUGAUGAAAAUGAACCUAAACAUAGAAGGAGUUCGCUAUCUCCUGAAGAUAAGCAUCGUGUUCAUGUUACCGACAUAGAUAAUGGAUCAGUAGCUGAAAAUUCAAAGCAUCAUGGGAGACAGCGGUCCAGGUCAAUUUCAGGAGAGAAUGGACAAGGAAUUUUUUCUCUAAGCACGGAGGAAAAUGAAUUUAAAGAUGGAGAGCAUUCAAUACUGGAACCUGUAGGAGGGCAUGAAGCUAGUCUCUCAAAGGUUAUAGAUGAUAUGCCAACAGAAGUUGAUCAGGGUAGAAAAGGGUUAAAUUCCCAAUAUUCCAAUGUUGAGGAAUCGAGCAAAAUUGAAAUGUCUGCCAUUGAGCAAGUUGAUUAGUUGAUGCAAUUUCUGGCGAUUGACGUUGAGGAGGCAGAGUUAAAUUAAAAAUUUGACAUGGAAGCGGUUUAGUGUAUCUCAUAAAUCACAAAAACAGUUGCGGACUUGAAUACCUUCAUAACCCGGAUCAAAUUUCGUUCUCAACAAUUUUAGCCAGGCUUGAUGGCAUAUCCAAAGGCAUCCAUUGCUGCAUCAUAUGAGAAAGGGCUACUUGAUAGAAGAUUUGUUUGCAUUUCUUUGGGUGCUCAGAAAAUUCUUCUGAUUUCUAGUUUUCAUCCAUGUCUUUUGUCUUUGAUUAUCUCUUGCAGGUUGAAGUUGGUCUGCUUUAAGCGUUUGAAGUCUUGCUGUCCUUUUGUCUACAAGACAAGACACCCAGUAUCUGUAGCGAGCUUCUUUUAAUACUUGAUGUAUGUUGAACUCUAUGACCUCCUUGUUUCAUGGUGAAUUUGCGAUAAAAUUGUCUGCACCAGGAUUGAUGCCUUAGGAAUUGAAGUUAAUCGGGGUGAUUGUCGUUGGAGGUUUAUCGGGUUGAUUUUCUCUUGUUUACACAAAGGCGAAGCUAAUGUUAAAGGUCGAAACCAAAUGUUGCUGGGAUAAAAUGCUUCAAAAUCUCAUCCUUCUGGGUAUGAUCAGAAUGGCUGUCUCACUUGGAAGCUUUUCUGUUAUUGGUGAAUUGCAAACAUAUAUAUGUAUAUAUAUAUACACAACAGGUAUUUUUUGUAUGCUUGGUUGAAGAAGAUAUUUAUAGGGGAAAUCUAUAGCAGUUUAUUUGAUUA